UAGAUAGUAGAGGAAGGGGAUUGUGAACGAGAUCACGUGCGCUAUAGAUCAUACAUGAGAGCUGAGGUCUAUCCGCGUUAGACCGCGAAUUGACUAAUUUUGAGCGGGCUAAAGACUUUUCAGAGUUUUACUCGGUUCUAAAGGUGUGAUUGUAAACAAUGGGCAUGGGAAGUCAGAAAUUGCGUUUUUUUCAGCAAAAGAAAAGCAAGAAGCAGCAGACAUCCCCCGUCUGCUCUCAUCAGCCUUUACCUGAGUCGACCAGCAACUCUUGAAUCUCUCCACUUCUUGGUUGCCAAGUCAGUGUUGAACUAAUUGCCGUCAAGAACGUGCUCACCAUUGUCAAGCUGCCAAGAGUUGAUGUCAUCGUCACCUCGUGUGUUCAGUGCCAGCUCAUUUGGAAUUUGUCAGUACGUUCUGAAUAUACCCUUACACCCCCUCUCUCCUCAUCACUCCAGUUCUUUCAACCUAAGUUACCAGCGUGCUGUGCUAUUUUGAUUGAGAUACAUCGAUUCCCUGAACUUUUGUGAUGAAAAUCCUGGCCUUAAAUGUUUAAUUAGAUUUGUGAAAGCAUUACUCUUCUACACUUAUUAUAUAGUUGAUCAGGUAAGUUCUGUCAAAAAAUUGUUCACGAACCGUUACCCAAACGCAGAAGACCGGACUCUGACAACACAUUCUGACUCAUAUCGUUCAUAAUGUACGUGUAUCUUUACAAUGUCAUGGCUUGUCUGCAGUUCAUAAUAAUGUUAUAUAGAUGAUGAGUUGUCAUGGAUAUUUUAUAUUGUAUAAUUGUAGAGCAUGGACACAUUUCCAGAGUAGAAAGAACCUACAAAAAAAAGAAUUUCAAAACUAAAAGCUUGCAUACACACAUAGCUCAGAGUCCCUACUUCCUUGAUAUGUCUUCACUAGCAGGAGGGCCCACAGAGGAGGCUGCAACCAUACCCAGCAACACAGAUCUAUAUACUUCCUGUCUACUUCCGGCCAUUCUGCUAAUGCUUCCGUCUAACACGGACAGUCCAUGAAAUUGAGUUCACGUGAUCUCGUUCACAAUCCCCUUCCUCUACUAUCUAUGGUUUGACAGUUGAACAAUUACAAGACAAGCCCUUUUUCCUCACGUGAUAAUCCACAUGGAUUCAGUCAGUUUUGAAGCUCUGAGCAAACACAUGGUCAAACUAUUUGUCUGUAUUGGUGGAGGUUGAAGACAUGAGUCCAUGGACAGGGACUACUGAGGAACCUUCAUCAAGAACGAGUCUCGUGCAUGGACA
Molecule: long non-coding RNA, 1262 nt
Organism: Halichondria panicea
Lineage: Eukaryota; Metazoa; Porifera; Demospongiae; Suberitida; Halichondriidae
Exons: 3
Source: RefSeq, a predicted model, not a curated record